GUAGGUGGCAAGCGUUGUCCGGAAUUAUUGGGCGUAAAGCGCGCGCAGGCGGUUCUUUAAGUCUGAUGUGAAAGCCCACGGCUCAACCGUGGAGGGUCAUUGGAAACUGGAGAACUUGAGUACAGAAGAGGAAAGCGGAAUUCCACGUGUAGCGGUGAAAUGCGUAGAGAUGUGGAGGAACACCAGUGGCGAAGGCGGCUUUCUGGUCUGUAACUGACGCUGAGGCGCGAAAGCGUGGGGAGCAAACAGGAUUAGAUACCCUGGUAGUCCACGCCGCAAACGAUGAGUGCUAAGUGUUAGGGGGUUUCGCCCCUUAGUGCUGCAGCUAACGCAUUAAGCACUCCGCCUGGGAGUACGGCCGCAAGGCUG
RNAcentral lists this ribosomal RNA (369 nucleotides) under uncultured organism. RNAcentral's name for it is "partial 16S ribosomal RNA". It matches the Rfam family "Bacterial small subunit ribosomal RNA", at positions 527 to 896 of the family's 1533-position model. The record is from RNAcentral.